RNAcentral lists this small nuclear RNA (100 nucleotides) under Myotis brandtii (Brandt's bat). Its description in RNAcentral is "U2 spliceosomal RNA". It matches the Rfam family "U2 spliceosomal RNA". From Rfam's summary of the family: U2 is a small nuclear RNA (snRNA) component of the spliceosome (involved in pre-mRNA splicing). Complementary binding between U2 snRNA (in an area lying towards the 5' end but 3' to hairpin I) and the branchpoint sequence (BPS) of the intron results the bulging out of an unpaired adenosine, on the BPS, which initiates a nucleophilic attack at the intronic 5' splice site, thus starting the first of two transesterification reactions that mediate splicing. The record is from Rfam by way of RNAcentral. Lineage: Eukaryota; Metazoa; Chordata; Mammalia; Chiroptera; Vespertilionidae.
AUUGCCUCUUGGCUUUUUGGCUAAGAUCAAGUGUAGUAUCUGUCCUUAACAAUUAAAUAUCUCUUCUCAGUUUAUCGUAAGAAUAGGAAGGGUACUCAAG